This 500-nucleotide ribosomal RNA is filed under the name uncultured bacterium. Its description in RNAcentral is "partial 16S ribosomal RNA". It matches the Rfam family "Bacterial small subunit ribosomal RNA", at positions 30 to 523 of the family's 1533-position model. The record is from RNAcentral.
AUUGAACGCUGGCGGCAUGCCUUACACAUGCAAGUCGAACGGCAGCACGGGAGCAAUCCUGGUGGCGAGUGGCGAACGGGUGAGUAAUACAUCGGAACGUGCCCAGUCGUGGGGGAUAACGUAGCGAAAGCUACGCUAAUACCGCAUACGAUCUAUGGAUGAAAGCGGGGGAUCGCAAGACCUCGCGCGAUUGGAGCGGCCGAUAUCAGAUUAGGUAGUUGGUGGGGUAAAGGCCCACCAAGCCUGCGAUCUGUAGCUGGUCUGAGAGGACGACCAGCCACACUGGAACUGAGACACGGUCCAGACUCCUACGGGAGGCAGCAGUGGGGAAUUUUGGACAAUGGGCGCAAGCCUGAUCCAGCAAUGCCGCGUGCAGGAUGAAGGCCUUCGGGUUGUAAACUGCUUUUGUACGGAACGAAACGGCUUUUUCUAAUACAGAGAGCUAAUGACGGUACCGUAAGAAUAAGCACCGGCUAACUACGUGCCAGCCGCCGCCGUAA